UCCUACGGGGCGCAGCAGUGAGGAAUAUUGGUCAAUGGGAGAGAUCCUGAACCAGUCAAGCCGCGUGAGGGAAGACGGCCCUAUGGGUUGUAAACCUCUUUUGUCGGAGAACAAAACCCGGGACGUGUCCCGGACUGCGUGUAUCCGAAGAAAAAGCAUCGGCUAACUCCGUGCCAGCAGCCGCGGUAAUACGGAGGAUGCGAGCGUUAUCCGGAUUUAUUGGGUUUAAAGGGUGCGCAGGCGGGAGAUCAAGUCAGCGGUAAAAUGUCGGGGCUCAACCCCGGCCGGCCGUUGAAACUGGUUUU
Molecule: ribosomal RNA, 305 nt
Filed under: uncultured bacterium
Lineage: Bacteria
Description: bacterial SSU rRNA
Rfam family: Bacterial small subunit ribosomal RNA
Source: RNAcentral